UCUAGUGGCGCACGGGUGCGUAACGCGGUGGGAACCUGCCUUUAGGUUCGGAAUAACUCAGAGAAUUUGAGCUAAUACCGGAUAAUGUCUUCGGACCAAAGAUUUAUCGCCUUUAGAUGGGCCCGCGUUGGAUUAGCUAGUUGGUGGGUAAAGGCCUACUAAGGCGACGAUCCAUAGCUGGUCUUGAGAGGAUGAUCAGCCACACUGGGACUGAGACACGGCCCAGACUCCUACGGGAGGCAGCAGUGGGGAAUAUUGGACAAUGGGCGAAAGCCUGAUCCAGCAAUGCCGCGUGAGUGAUGAAGGCCUUAGGGUUGUAAAGCUCUUUUACCCGAGAUGAUAAUGACAGUAUCGGGAGAAUAAGCUCCGGCUAACUCCGUG
Molecule: ribosomal RNA, 381 nt
Filed under: uncultured bacterium
Lineage: Bacteria
Description: bacterial SSU rRNA
Rfam family: Bacterial small subunit ribosomal RNA
Source: RNAcentral